AUUGAACGCUGGCGGCAUGCCUUACACAUGCAAGUCGAACGGUAACAGGUCUUCGGAUGCUGACGAGUGGCGAACGGGUGAGUAAUACAUCGGAACGUGCCUAGUAGUGGGGGAUAACUACUCGAAAGAGUGGCUAAUACCGCAUGAGAUCUACGGAUGAAAGCAGGGGAUCGCAAGACCUUGUGCUACUAGAGCGGCCGAUGGCAGAUUAGGUAGUUGGUGGGAUAAAAGCUUACCAAGCCGACGAUCUGUAGCUGGUCUGAGAGGACGAUCAGCCACAGUGGGACUGAGACACGGCCCAGACUCCUACGGGAGGCAGCAGUGGGGAAUGUUGGACAAUGGGCGCAAGCCUGAUCCAGCAAUGCCGCGUGCAGGAUGAAGGCCUUCGGGUUGUAAACUGCUUUUGUACGGAACGAAAAACCCUGGGUUAAUACCCUGGGGUCAUGACGGUACCGUAAGAAUAAGCACCGGCUAACUACGUGCCAGCCGCCGCCGUAA
Molecule: ribosomal RNA, 498 nt
Filed under: uncultured bacterium
Lineage: Bacteria
Description: partial 16S ribosomal RNA
Rfam family: Bacterial small subunit ribosomal RNA
Source: RNAcentral